This 23-nucleotide small nuclear RNA is filed under the name Arabidopsis thaliana (thale cress). RNAcentral describes it as "snRNA_09986". The record is from RNAcentral. Lineage: Eukaryota; Viridiplantae; Streptophyta; Magnoliopsida; Brassicales; Brassicaceae.
AGAAGCGUUGUCGUCGGUGGUCC